This 456-nucleotide ribosomal RNA is filed under the name Segatella oris. Its description in RNAcentral is "bacterial SSU rRNA". It matches the Rfam family "Bacterial small subunit ribosomal RNA", at positions 28 to 471 of the family's 1533-position model. Lineage: Bacteria; Pseudomonadati; Bacteroidota; Bacteroidia; Bacteroidales; Prevotellaceae. The record is from RNAcentral.
GAUGAACGCUGGCUACAGGCUUAACACAUGCAAGUCGAGGGGAAACGACGGGGAAGCUUGCUUCCCCGGGCGUCGACCGGCGCACGGGUGAGUAACGCGUAUCCAACCUGCCUCUGACUGAGGGAUAACCCGUCGAAAGUCGGCCUAAUACCUCAUGGCAUCGUCUGCGGGCAUCCAACGACGAUUAAAGAUUUCAUCGGUCAGGGAUGGGGAUGCGUCUGAUUAGCUUGUUGGCGGGGUAACGGCCCACCAAGGCGACGAUCAGUAGGGGUUCUGAGAGGAAGGUCCCCCACAUUGGAACUGAGACACGGUCCAAACUCCUACGGGAGGCAGCAGUGAGGAAUAUUGGUCAAUGGGCGAGAGCCUGAACCAGCCAAGUAGCGUGCAGGAUGACGGCCCUAUGGGUUGUAAACUGCUUUUAUGCGGGGAUAAAGUGAGGGACGUGUCCUUUCAUUG